GAUGAACGCUGGCGGCGUGCCUAAUACAUGCAAGUCGAGCGAACAGACGAGGAGCUUGCUCCUCUGACGUUAGCGGCGGACGGGUGAGUAACACGUGGAUAACCUGCCUAUAAGACUGGGAUAACUUCGGGAAACCGGAGCUAAUACCGGAUAAUAUAUUGAACCGCAUGGUUCAAUAGUGAAAGACGGUUUUGCUGUCACUUAUAGAUGGAUCCGCGCCGCAUUAGCUAGUUGGUAAGGUAACGGCUUACCAAGGCAACGAUGCGUAGCCGACCUGAGAGGGUGAUCGGCCACACUGGAACUGAGACACGGUCCAGACUCCUACGGGAGGCAGCAGUAGGGAAUCUUCCGCAAUGGGCGAAAGCCUGACGGAGCAACGCCGCGUGAGUGAUGAAGGUUUUCGGAUCGUAAAACUCUGUUAUUAGGGAAGAACAAAUGUGUAAGUAACUAUGCACGUCUUGACGGUACCUAAUCAGAAAGCCACGGCUAACUACGUG
RNAcentral lists this ribosomal RNA (497 nucleotides) under uncultured bacterium. Its description in RNAcentral is "partial 16S ribosomal RNA". It matches the Rfam family "Bacterial small subunit ribosomal RNA", at positions 28 to 507 of the family's 1533-position model. The record is from RNAcentral.